RNAcentral lists this long non-coding RNA (1024 nucleotides) under Zonotrichia albicollis (white-throated sparrow). RNAcentral's name for it is "lncRNA (ENSZALG00000000652.1)". Lineage: Eukaryota; Metazoa; Chordata; Aves; Passeriformes; Passerellidae. The record is from RNAcentral.
UCCUGGAUUUCCCAUCCCACAGAACAUUCCGGAAUUCCGCCAUUCCCGUUUUCCCGCUCUCACAAUGAUGAGCUGAUCCCAGGAGCUUUCCCGGCUUUUCCUGGGAGCUUUUCCAGAGGGAGCCAACGGGGCCGGGAGCUCCUGCAGCGGCCUGGGAAAGGAAGAAAUGGGAAAAUCAAUGGGAAAAAAUCAGGGAAAAAAUCAGGGAAAAAUCAGGGGAAAGUGGGAAUAAUCAGGGAAAAACAUGAGGGGGAAAUGGGAAAAAUCAGGGAAAAAAAUCAGGGAAAAAUGGGAAAAUUUGGGGAAAAAGCAGGGGAAAAAUCGGGGAAAAAUGGGAAAAAAUCAGGGAAAACCAUGGGGGGAAAAUGGAAAAAGUCAGGAGAAAAAUCAGGGAAAAAUUACGAAAAAAACAGGGAAAAAUCAAGGAAAAAUCAGGGGAAAAAUCAGGGAAAAAUGGGAAAAGUCAGGGAAAAAAUCAAGGGAAAAAUCAAGGGAAAAAUCAGGGGGAAAUCAGGGGGAAAACGGGAAAAAUCAGGGGAAAUUCAGGGAAAAAAUCAGGGAAAAAUCAGGAGAAAAAUCAAGGGGAAAAUGGAAAAGAUUAGGGAAAAAUUAGGGAAAAAUCAGGGAAAAAAUCAGGGAAAAAAUCAGGGAAAAAANGAACAGCAUCCCACAGGAUGGGCAGUGCCGAGGGGACAGGGAAUGCUGCCCUGCAUCCUGGGAAAAAUGGGGAAAAAUGGGAAUGUGGGAAUGGAACAGCAUCCCACAGGAUGGGCAGUGCCGAGGGGACAGGGAAUGCUGCCCUGCAUCCUGGGAAAAACGGGAAUGUGGGAAUGGAACAGCAUCCCACAGGAUCCACACUGCCGAGGGGACAGGGAAUGCUGGCCGGCAUCCUGGGAAUGGGGAAAAACGGGAAUGUGGGAAUGGAACAGCAUCCCACAGGAUGGGCACUGCCGAGGGCACAGGGAAUGCUGGCCUGCAUCCUGUGGGAAUAUCGGGAAUUCUGGGAAUUCUGGGAAUGGAACAG